RNAcentral lists this RNase P RNA (338 nucleotides) under Candidatus Margulisiibacteriota bacterium. RNAcentral describes it as "Candidatus Margulisbacteria bacterium (hot springs metagenome) RNase P RNA component class A". It matches the Rfam family "Bacterial RNase P class A". Rfam says of the family: Ribonuclease P (RNase P) is a ubiquitous endoribonuclease, found in archaea, bacteria and eukarya as well as chloroplasts and mitochondria. Its best characterised activity is the generation of mature 5'-ends of tRNAs by cleaving the 5'-leader elements of precursor-tRNAs. The record is from RNAcentral. Lineage: Bacteria; Bacillati; Candidatus Margulisiibacteriota.
CGAGGGGGACAGACGGUAGCUCCCUGGUCUUCUAGGGGGAGGAAAGUCCGGACUCCAAAGAGCAGCGUGCCUGGUAACGCCAGGUCCCCGAUCAAAUCGGGGAAGGAAAGUGGCACAGAAAACACACGGCCCACCCUAACCCUAAAGGUUAGGAGGCAAAGGUGAAAAUGGGAGGCAAGAGCUCCCACACGACAGCUAGGCAACUAGCGGUGCGCCAAACCCCACGCGGAGCAAGACCAAAUAGGGAGAUGGAUGGCUCGUCCGCCACGAUCCCGAGUAGGUCGCAUUAGAUAGAUUACCGUCCUCGACAGAAUCCGGCUUAUCGUCCCCCUCUUUUA